This 465-nucleotide ribosomal RNA is filed under the name uncultured bacterium. Its description in RNAcentral is "bacterial SSU rRNA". It matches the Rfam family "Bacterial small subunit ribosomal RNA", at positions 338 to 795 of the family's 1533-position model. The record is from RNAcentral.
CCUACGGGUCGCACCAGUGGGGAAUAUUGCACAAUGGGCGCAAGCCUGAUGCAGCCAUGCCGCGUGUAUGAAGAAGGCCUUCGGGUUGUAAAGUACUUUCAGCGGGGAGGAAGGCGAUAAGGUUAAUAGCCUUGUCGAUUGACGUUACCCGCAGAAGAAGCACCGGCUAACUCCGUGCCAGCAGCCGCGGUAAUACGGAGGGUGCAAGCGUUAAUCGGAAUUACUGGGCGUAAAGCGCACGCAGGCGGUCUGUCAAGUCGGAUGUGAAAUCCCCGGGCUCAACCUGGGAACUGCAUUCGAAACUGGCAGGCUAGAGUCUUGUAGAGGGGGGUAGAAUUCCAGGUGUAGCGGUGAAAUGCGUAGAGAUCUGGAGGAAUACCGGUGGCGAAGGCGGCCCCCUGGACAAAGACUGACGCUUAGGUGCGAAAGCGUGGGGAGCAAACAGGAUUAGAUACCCCAGUAGUC